RNAcentral lists this ribosomal RNA (440 nucleotides) under uncultured Sphingomonas sp. RNAcentral's name for it is "bacterial SSU rRNA". It matches the Rfam family "Bacterial small subunit ribosomal RNA", at positions 338 to 795 of the family's 1533-position model. Lineage: Bacteria; Pseudomonadati; Pseudomonadota; Alphaproteobacteria; Sphingomonadales; Sphingomonadaceae. The record is from RNAcentral.
CCUACGGGCGGCUGCAGUGGGGAAUAUUGGACAAUGGGCGAAAGCCUGAUCCAGCAAUGCCGCGUGAGUGAUGAAGGCCUUAGGGUUGUAAAGCUCUUUUACCCGGGAUGAUAAUGACAGUACCGGGAGAAUAAGCUCCGGCUAACUCCGUGCCAGCAGCCGCGGUAAUACGGAGGGAGCUAGCGUUGUUCGGAAUUACUGGGCGUAAAGCGCACGUAGGCGGCUUUGUAAGUCAGAGGUGAAAGCCUGGAGCUCAACUCCAGAACUGCCUUUGAGACUGCAUCGCUUGAAUCCAGGAGAGGUGAGUGGAAUUCCGAGUGUAGAGGUGAAAUUCGUAGAUAUUCGGAAGAACACCAGUGGCGAAGGCGGCUCACUGGACUGGUAUUGACGCUGAGGUGCGAAAGCGUGGGGAGCAAACAGGAUUAGAUACCCCAGUAGUC